AACGGUCUAUACCUGCGGUACCUGCGGAGGGAUCAUUAAUGAAUGAAAUUGAGUGGGGUUGUAGCUGGCCUUUUACUAGGCAUGUGCACGCCUCAUUCAACCACCUUCACACCCCUGUGCACUUCUCAUAGGUUGGGUUGCGUCUGAAAUAUUGACAAAGCCUGGCCUAUGUGCUUAUACAAACGAAUAAAGUCAUAGAAUGUUUUUAUUAAUGCGUAACAGCAUAUAAUACAACUUUUA
This 240-nucleotide unclassified non-coding RNA is filed under the name soil metagenome. RNAcentral describes it as "partial contains 5.8S ribosomal RNA, internal transcribed spacer 2, and large subunit ribosomal RNA". The record is from RNAcentral.